This 492-nucleotide ribosomal RNA is filed under the name uncultured bacterium. RNAcentral's name for it is "partial 16S ribosomal RNA". It matches the Rfam family "Bacterial small subunit ribosomal RNA", at positions 29 to 507 of the family's 1533-position model. The record is from RNAcentral.
AGUGAACGCUGGCGGUAGGCCUAACACAUGCAAGUCGAACGGCAGCACAGUGAGAGCUUGCUCUUACGGGUGGCGAGUGGCGGACGGGUGAGGAAUACAUCGGAAUCUACUUUUUCGUGGGGGAUAACGUAGGGAAACUUACGCUAAUACCGCAUACGACCUACGGGUGAAAGCAGGGGAUCUUCGGACCUUGCGCGAUUGAAUGAGCCGAUGUCGGAUUAGCUAGUUGGCGGGGUAAAGGCCCACCAAGGCGACGAUCCGUAGCUGGUCUGAGAGGAUGAUCAGCCACACUGGAACUGAGACACGGUCAAGACUCCUACGGGAGGCAGCAGUGGGGAAUAUUGGACAAUGGGCGCAAGCCUGAUCCAGCCAUACCGCGUGGGUGAAGAAGGCCUUCGGGUUGUAAAGCCCUUUUGUUGGGAAAGAAAAGCAGCAGGUUAAUACCCCGCUGUUCUGACGGUACCCAAAGAAUAAGCACCGGCUAACUUCGUG